GGGAAUAUGGCUUAGUGGUUAGAGUGCUUGCCUUGCAUGCAUGAAGCCCUAGGUUCGAUUCCUCAGUGCUA
Molecule: transfer RNA, 71 nt
Filed under: Dipodomys ordii (Ord's kangaroo rat)
Lineage: Eukaryota; Metazoa; Chordata; Mammalia; Rodentia; Heteromyidae
Rfam family: tRNA
About the family: Transfer RNA (tRNA) molecules are approximately 80 nucleotides in length. Their secondary structure includes four short double-helical elements and three loops (D, anti-codon, and T loops).
Source: Rfam by way of RNAcentral